GGUUGUGAGACCAAUCCAGCUGCAACAUCUGUCACCCCAUUGAUCACUCUCUCUGAUCUGGCUGGAUAGGAGAGUACCCACUUCCUCCCUUAUCAUCCCAUAUAUAUCCUUCCCAAAGCUGUGUACUUGGUCAUCAUCUUCGACAUAGCAGGACUGGUCUUACCUCAUGAGUACAGCAGC
This 180-nucleotide small nuclear RNA is filed under the name Mesocricetus auratus (golden hamster). Its description in RNAcentral is "7SK RNA". It matches the Rfam family "7SK RNA", at positions 1 to 199 of the family's 331-position model. From Rfam's summary of the family: 7SK was discovered as an abundant small nuclear RNA in the mid-70s but a possible function has only recently been suggested. Two independent studies have found that 7SK RNA binds the CDK9/cyclin T complex (known as elongation factor P-TEFb). Lineage: Eukaryota; Metazoa; Chordata; Mammalia; Rodentia; Cricetidae. The record is from Rfam by way of RNAcentral.